GCAUAUCAAUAAGCGGAGGAAAAGAAACCAACAGGGAUUGCCCUAGUAACGGCGAGUGAAGCGGCAACAGCUCAAAUUUGAAAUCUGGCUUCGGCCCGAGUUGUAAUUUGUAGAGGAAGCUUUUGGUGAGGCACCUUCUGAGUCCCCUGGAACGGGGCGCCAUAGAGGGUGAGAGCCCCGUAUAGUCGGAUGCCGAUCCAAUGUAAAGCUCCUUCGACGAGUCGAGUAGUUUGGGAAUGCUGCUCAAAAUGGGAGGUAAAUUUCUUCUAAAGCUAAAUACCGGCCAGAGACCGAUAGCGCACAAGUAGAGUGAUCGAAAGAUGAAAAGCACUUUGAAAAGAGGGUUAAAUAGCACGUGAAAUUGUUGAAAGGGAAGCGUUUGUGACCAGACUUGCGCCGUUCCGAUCAUCCGGUGUUCUCACCGGUGCACUCGGGACGGCUCAGGCCAGCAUCGGUUUUGGCGGGGGGAUAAAGGUCCGGGGAACGUAGCUCCUCCGGGAGUGUUAUAGCCCCGGGCGUAAUGCCCUCGCCGGGACCGAGGUUCGCGCAUCUGCAAGGAUGCUGGCGUAAUGGUCAUCAACGACCCGUCUUGAAACACGGACCAAGGAGUCAAGGUUUUGCGCGAGUGUUUGGGUGUAAAACCCGCACGCGUAAUGAAAGUGAACGUAGGUGAGAGCUUCGGCGCAUCAUCGACCGAUCCUGAUGUAUUCGGAUGGAUUUGAGUAAGAGCGUUAAGCCUUGGACCCGAAAGAUGGUGAACUAUGCUUGGAUAGGGUGAAGCCAGAGGAAACUCUGGUGGAGGCUCGCAGCGGUUCUGACGUGCAAAUCGAUCGUCAAAUCUGAGCAUGGGGGCGAAAGACUAAUCGAACCAUCUAGUAGCUGGUUAUCGCGA
This 892-nucleotide ribosomal RNA is filed under the name Neurospora crassa. RNAcentral's name for it is "LSU rRNA". It matches the Rfam family "Eukaryotic large subunit ribosomal RNA", at positions 38 to 963 of the family's 3401-position model. The record is from RNAcentral. Lineage: Eukaryota; Fungi; Ascomycota; Sordariomycetes; Sordariales; Sordariaceae.